UGGGGAAUUUUGGACAAUGGGCGAAAGCCUGAUCCAGCAAUGCCGCGUGUGUGAAGAAGGCCUUCGGGUUGUAAAGCACUUUUGUCCGGAAAGAAAUCCUUGGCUCUAAUACAGUCGGGGGACGACGGUACCGGAAGAAUAAGCACCGGCUAACUACGUGCCAGCAGCCGCGGUAAUACGUAGGGUGCAAGCGUUAAUCGGAAUUACUGGGCGUAAAGCGUGCGCAGGCGGUUUGCUAAGACCGAUGUGAAAUCCCCGGGCUCAACCUGGGAACUGCAUUGGUGACUGGCAGGCUAGAGUAUGGUAGAGGGGGGUAGAAUUCCACGUGUAGCAGUGAAAUGCGUAGAGAUGUGGAGGAAUACCGAUGGCGAAGGCAGCCCCCUGGGCCAAUACUGACGCUCAUGCACGAAAGCGUGGGGAGCAAACAGGAUUAGAUACCCUGGUAGUCCACGCCCUAAACGAUGUCAACUAGUUGUUGGGGAUUCAUUUCCUUAGUAACGUAGCUAACGCGUGAAGUUGACCGCCUGGGGAGUACGGUCGCAAGAUU
RNAcentral lists this ribosomal RNA (547 nucleotides) under uncultured bacterium. RNAcentral describes it as "partial 16S ribosomal RNA". It matches the Rfam family "Bacterial small subunit ribosomal RNA", at positions 355 to 895 of the family's 1533-position model. The record is from RNAcentral.